UAAUGCUUGGAUUCGAGCAUCCGAAUGGAGUUGGAAAUACAGGGUGCGGGCCCACACCACACUCUCACCAUUUCUCAUCCACUCAUUUCCCGUCAUGUGUCUCCACUGGUUCCUGCUCGUUCUCAUCCACACCAAUCUCUCUCUCCCUCCCUCUCACAUGCGCGCUCGAGUGCCAGGGGCAAGCAACACCGGCCGCCACUCCCUUGCGGCUUCCCCGCACCGGCCGCCAGAGGAGCUCUGGGCAGCGGCAAUGGAGGGCAGCUCCGGGCGGCAGGCAGCAGGCGGGGUGCACGUGCUGGGGGCCGGGCCUCUGCUCCCUACGCCUUCCUCCACCCCGGUAGCUGCUCCCUCCACCAUGGGUGAGCCGCGCCGGCCGCCGGAGGAGCUCUGGGCGGCGGCCAUGGGAAAGAUGCAUCAAUGGCUAGGAAGACUGAUCCGGUCAGCCAAAGGUCUUUGAGCUUCGAUAACCAACCGAAAGCAUGGUGCCUCACGGGGACCUCAGUGGAGGUUUGACCAGGGACCUUCGGGCGGACGUAUCAGAACAGCUCUAUGAACAUAACCGCCAAAUGUUGAUGAAGGUUGGUAAAGAGACACCCGAAGGUGACGACCAUGUAAGGUGUAUAUAUAAGUAAAUAGUUUGUACACAUUAAUCUAUGGAAAUGACUAUUUCCCCAUAAUAUCCUUCGAAUAUAGAGGGCAGAUAGGGGUAUUUUUUGAAUUAUGCAACUAAGGUUGGAGUAUAAACAUCCCCCCGAUCACUGUAACCUUCGAUCCCAGUUCAUCGCUUUAAUUUUGUGGUGAUCACAACUUUGAUCCCAAAAGUUGUAGCAGUUGACGUUUUUGAUGCUUCAUCUGUUGAUUUCUCAUUUUACAA
Long non-coding RNA from Panicum virgatum (switchgrass), 874 nucleotides. RefSeq lists it as uncharacterized. The transcript has 2 exons. Lineage: Eukaryota; Viridiplantae; Streptophyta; Magnoliopsida; Poales; Poaceae. The record is from RefSeq and is a predicted model, not a curated record.